RNAcentral lists this ribosomal RNA (465 nucleotides) under uncultured bacterium. Its description in RNAcentral is "partial 16S ribosomal RNA". It matches the Rfam family "Bacterial small subunit ribosomal RNA", at positions 338 to 795 of the family's 1533-position model. The record is from RNAcentral.
CCUACGGGAGGCAGCAGUAGGGAAUCUUCCACAAUGGGCGAAAGCCUGAUGGAGCAACGCCGCGUGGGUGAAGAAGGUCUUCGGAUCGUAAAACCCUGUUGUUAGAGAAGAAAGUGCGUGCGAGUAACUGUUCACGUUUCGACGGUAUCUAACCAGACAGCCCCGGCUAACUACGUGCCAGCAGCCGCGGUAAUACGUAGGUGGCAAGCGUUAUCCGGAUUUAUUGGGCGUAAAGGGAACGCAGGCGGUCUUUUAAGUCUGAUGUGAAAGCCUUCGGCUUAACCGGAGUAGUGCAUUGGAAACUGGGAGACGUGAGUGCAGAAGAGGAGAGUGGAACUCCAUGUGUAGCGGUGAAAUGCGUAGAUAUAUGGAAGAACACCAGUGGCGAAAGCGGCUCUCUGGUCUGUAACUGACGCUGAGGUUCGAAAGCGUGGGUAGCAAACAGGAUUAGAUACCCUAGUAGUC